GGCCUACAUGCUCAAACUUUGGACCAAGAUGAACUAUCAACUCAGAAUCUUAAUCACUCGAUGAAGCACAUUGCUUAAUAAACAUCUCGACCUUGUGGACAGCGUUAAGUCAGGUAGUAAGAUAUUUCUUUCAAUGCCAUGAACCAGGGAAGGCAGUGAAAAGCACAAACCACCAUGAAGGAUGGGGCAAUGUUAGCACAUAUUCAAAGAUUGUGUUUGGUUUAUCACCUGCUAAGAAGAUGUCAAGCAUGCGACCCCGGAGGAGCCUCCAAUGACUGUCCAGAGGGAGGAUUAUCCCAGAAAUAGGGAUGCAAUCCACGGUUCAUAUUAGGCUGUCAACCAAUCAAAACAGCAAGAAGAUAGCGCCGACUAAGAUGCCAUCCCCAAGUGAGUUUGACAUGCCACCCACGUCAACCAGUGUGGAUUCAAAGUUCCCAUAUAACUGGCACUGUUGUACACGUCUUAAUAAGUCGUCAACUCCAUAGUUGAUAUGAGUCGGAUGGUAACUCAUCUAGAA
This 517-nucleotide long non-coding RNA is filed under the name Olea europaea subsp. europaea. Lineage: Eukaryota; Viridiplantae; Streptophyta; Magnoliopsida; Lamiales; Oleaceae. The record is from RNAcentral.